This 4008-nucleotide ribosomal RNA is filed under the name Triticum aestivum (bread wheat). RNAcentral's name for it is "partial small subunit ribosomal RNA". Lineage: Eukaryota; Viridiplantae; Streptophyta; Magnoliopsida; Poales; Poaceae. The record is from RNAcentral.
AUGGCGCUGUUCCGCAAGUUCUUCUUCAAGAAGCCGCCCGACGGGGUGCUCCUCAUCACGGACAACAUCUACGUUUUCGAUCAUUGCUUCUCCUUGAAUGCACCGGAAGAGGACCAGUUCGAGGCACACACCAGAGGCAUCGCAGCGCAUCUUCUAGAGGAUUUUCAUGAUCACUCAUUCAUGGUGGCAAACUUCGGGACUCGGGCAGAGGAAAGCCGCUUAUACCACAUUUUAUCCGAGUAUGGCAUGACUGUUUUGGACUACCCGGGCCACUACGAGGGGUGUCCACUUCUCACCAUCGAAAUGGUGCACUGCAUCUUGAAGUCCAGCGAAAGCUGGCUCUCUCUGGGCCAGCAUAACUUACUCAUAAUGCACUGCGAGCAAGGUUGCUGGCCUAUCCUGGCUUUCAUGCUAGCUGCUCUCUUGUUGUACCUGGGGCAGUAUUCAGAUGAGCAGAAAACACUCGAUAUGCUCUACAAACAAUCAUCUUCGGAGUUCUUGGAGAUGUUCUCACCUCUAAAUCCCAUGCCAUCUCAAAUUAGGUACUUGCGGUAUAUUUCGAUGAGGAAUGUCAUGCCUGAGUGGCCGCCCGCUGAUAGAGCCCUCACACUGGAUUGUCUGACUUUGAGGAUGCUUCCUGAUUUCCAAAGUCAAGGUGGUUUUUGUCCAAUAUUCAGGAUAUAUGGUCCAGAUCCACUCAUGCCCCAUGAUCAGACUCCCAAAGUUCUUUUUUCAACCCCCAAAACUAGUAAUCUUGUCCGUUUUAAUUCACAGGCAGAUGAACGGGUGAACAUAAACCUUCAAUGUCAUGUCCAAGGUGACGUUGUCAUAGAGUGUAGCAACUUGUAUGAUGAUCUAGAUCGCGAGGAGAUGGUUAUCUUUUCUGACAUGGAUGCAACUACUUCGCUUGUUACGACAGAGCCUUUGAGUCAUCAAGAUAAACAAGGACUUGGUGUUGAAGAGUUUGCUAAAGUGCUAGAUAUCUUCAACCAUUUGGACUGGUUGGAUGGGGAUACGGAUACUGCACUGGACAGACCCCAGAAAAGGUUCCAGGUUACUUCCCAAGGAAAUAUUAAUGCGUCUCCUCCUGAUGAGCCUGAAACCUUUUUUGAUACUCAAGAAGAACUUGGCUUUGAUAAUUUCUCUGGUGAAAUCAACUCUUCUGCUCAUGUGCUGAAGCUUCAAAAUCACUUUGGUAUGCUUGGCAGCACUGAACUUAAACAAGGCCCCCCACAUUCAAGUCCAACGGAAGUUCCAUCCAAACCACAUAGAAUAGAUUUGGAUCCUUCACGAACAGAGCCUCCUUCGGUGUUGUUUUCACCAUCAGAGGUUACAAAGCCAAAGGCUAGUGCUUCAUCAGUAGCACCAUCUUCAGUUACAGUUACACCCCAGCCUGUAUUUUCACCAGUUCAACCGCAGCCACUGCCAUCUGAUUCUGCUGUGCAAAUUUCAUCAGAGGCAUCAGCGACAAAAUCUGCAGGGAAGCCUGGUUCACAAACUCCAAUACAGCAUGAACCUUCGCCUCUUAUGGUAACUAAAUCAGGAUCAUCAACAUCUUGGAUACCAUCAUGUGCACCUCCUCCGCUUCCUCCCCGACCGGCCACUGUUUCAUUAGCCCCUGUUUCCCCUACCUUACCCAUAAAUACUAGUACAAGUCUGAUCAGUGUUUCCCUUAAAUCAACCAUGCCCUCCCCUUCACCUCCUCCAGAGCCAUCAGCCUUUGCACAAGCUUUUGCAACUGAACAACUGGUUAAAUCACAAGAAUCUUCUUACGAGAUUCUCAAGUCACUGUCUGAUAGUUCUACAGCUUCAGCUUCUUCAGUUUGUAUAGUAAAGGAAUCUAGUACCCCUAAAGCAUCUUCACCGGUGACGUUGCCUGCAAUUCCUCUGACUUCAGACUCAGGGCCCUUAGUAACUCCAGUCACAAGAUCAGAUCCUAACCCAGCAUCGCCGCUCCCACCACCACCACCUCCCCCUCCUCCUAUAAAAGCAGCCACUGUGUAUGAACAGGAGACAAGCAGGAAAGAAAAGGUUGCACCACCUCAGCCUCCACCCCCGCCACCUCCACCAGCACUGCCACGAGCACCUUUUGAAAAUGCUACACAGUCGUUUACUACGUAUGAAAUUUCUUCCCCACCAGUUCGAUCUUCACCACCACCCCCGCCCCCGCCACCACCUCCCUCAGUGUUUGCUGACAAAAAGGUCAGUUCAGCAUCAAAAUAUGCGGUUCCAUCACCUUUGAGCCCCAACUUUUCACAAACAGUUCCAAGGCUGCAAGCACCAACCAUUCCACCACCACCUCCUCCUCCACCUCGAAGUAGCUCGUUGGUUUGUUCAUCUCCAUCCACAAGUGGUAGACAUUUCAUGGCUGCCCCUCAUCCUCCCCCACCUCCCCCACGAUUGCAUACCAUGGCAUCUCAUGUAUCGGCGCCACCUGCACCCCCGUUACUCGUUGCUGCCCCUCAUCCUCCCCCACCUCCCCCGCCAUUGCAUACCAUGUCAUCUCGUGGGUCAGCACCACCUGUACCCCCAUUGCCUCCUCCGAAGCUAGCUGGGGCCAGCAAUGCUUCACAAAAACCAUCAGUAACCCGACCACCGCCACCUCCACCAGGCCCACCUCCUAAGAAUUCCUCAAACUCUUUGCCAAGCAAAGGAACCGUUGCCAGUGCUGCCCCUCCCCCGCCUCCUACAUUAUCAUUUGGUGCAAAGGGCCGCAGCGCAGUCCGGUCAAAAAGCCCUAGAGGUUUGCGUGCCAACCAGCCAUCCAAGAGGACACCUCUGAAGCCAUUACACUGGGUAAAAGUGUCAAGAGCAACACAGGGAAGCUUAUGGGCAGAUACACAGAAGUCUGAUGAAGCAUCUAGGACUCCGGAGAUUGAUCUGUCUGAGCUUGAAAGUCUUUUCUCAGUAUCCAUGCCAAGUACGGAUGCAAAACGGACACGCCAACGUCCUCCUGUUGCAUCAAAACAAGAAAAAGUUCACUUGAUUGACCUCCAGCGUUCAAAGAAUUGUGAAAUUAUGCUGCGGAACAUUAAGAUGCCAUUGCCUGAUUUGAUGGCUUCAGUGCUUACCCUUGAUGAUUCCAUCGUUGAUGGUGAUCAAGUAGAUUAUCUGAUAAAGUUCUGCCCAACUAAGGAAGAAAUGGAACUGCUCAAAAGUUAUACAGGCAGCAAAGAGAAUCUAGGAAAAUGUGAGCAGUUCUUCUUGGAAAUGAUGAAAGUGCCAAGGGUGGAGUCAAAACUGAGAAUCUUAUCCUUUAAGAUAAAGUUUCUUACACAGGUUGCAGACGUGAAAAAUAACCUGAAUACCAUUAAUGAUGUUGCUGAAGAGGUUAGGAACUCUGACAAGCUUAAGCGAGUGAUGCAAACAAUUCUUUCCUUGGGGAAUGCAUUAAACCAAGGAACUGCAAGGGGUUCAGCCGUUGGAUUUAGAUUAGAUAGUCUUCUUAAGCUCAUUGAUAUACGGGCACGAAACAAUAAGAUGACUCUCAUGCAUUAUUUGUGCAAGGUUCUUGCAGGCAAGCUUCCUGAAGUUCUUGAUUUUGUUAAGGAUCUUGCGCAUUUAGAACCCGCCACAAAGAUCCAAUUGAAAGACUUGGCGGAGGAAAUGCAAGCGAUAACUAAGGGACUGGAAAAGGUCGAGCAGGAACUGGCAACAUCUGAAAAAGAUGGUCCAGUGUCUGAGACGUUUUACAAGAAACUGAAGGAAUUUCUGGCUGAUGCCCAAGCUGAAGGGAGGUCAUUAGCUUCGCUUUACAGUACAGCGGGGAAAAGCGCGGACUCUCUAGCACAUUAUUUUGGUGAAGAUCCUGUGCGGUGCCCGUUUGAGCAAGUUGUCUCUACUCUGCUAAGCUUCGUGAAAACCUUCGAGCGGGCCCAUGCCGAGAACCUCAGGCAGGCGGAGGCGGAGAAGAAGAAAGCCCAGAUGGAAGCUGAACGAGAGAAGGCGAAGGCAGCCGCCGCUCACAAGAAGGCGGGGUCGCCGGAGCCAGGAGUUUCCGACCGAUGA